UGGUGACUAUAGCAAGGAGGUCACACCUGUUCCCAUGCCGAACACAGAAGUUAAGCUCCUUAGCGUCGAUGGUAGUCGAACUUAGGCAAAAAUGGAUGCGAUGAGCC
RNAcentral lists this ribosomal RNA (107 nucleotides) under Staphylococcus aureus. The record is from RNAcentral. Lineage: Bacteria; Bacillati; Bacillota; Bacilli; Caryophanales; Staphylococcaceae.